AACGAACGCUGGCGGCAUGCCUAACACAUGCAAGUCGAACGAGACCUUCGGGUUUAGUGGCGCACGGGUGCGUAACGCGUGGGAAACUGCCCUUAGGUUCGGAAUAACUCCCCGAAAGGGGUGCUAAUACCGGAUAAUGUCUUCGGACCAAAGAUUUAUCGCCUUUGGAUGGGCCCGCGUUGGAUUAGCUAGUUGGUAGGGUAAAAGCCUACCAAGGCGACGAUCCAUAGCUGGUCUGAGAGGAUGAUCAGCCACACUGGGACUGAGACACGGCCCAGACUCCUACGGGAGGCAGCAGUGGGGAAUAUUGGACAAUGGGAUGAAGACUGAUCCAGCAAUGCCGCGUGAGUGAUGAAGGCCUUAGGGUUGUAAAGCUCUUUUACCCGGGAUGAUAAUGACAGUACCGGGAGAAUAAGCACCGGCUACCUCCGUG
This 433-nucleotide ribosomal RNA is filed under the name uncultured bacterium. RNAcentral describes it as "partial 16S ribosomal RNA". It matches the Rfam family "Bacterial small subunit ribosomal RNA", at positions 29 to 507 of the family's 1533-position model. The record is from RNAcentral.